UCCCUCGGGGGAACCUGCGGAGGGAUCAUUACCGAGUUUACAACUCCCAAACCCAAUGUGAACCAUACCAAACUGUUGCCUCGGCGGGGUCACGCCCCGGGUGCGUCGCAGCCCCGGAACCAGGCGCCCGCCGGAGGGACCAACCAAACUCUUUUCUGUAGUCCCCUCGCGGACGUUAUUUCUUACAGCUCUGAGCAAAAAUUCAAAAUGAAUCAAAACUUUCAACAACGGAUCUCUUGGUUCUGGCAUCGAUGAAGAACGCAGCGAAAUGCGAUAAGUAAUGUGAAUUGCAGAAUUCAGUGAAUCAUCGAAUCUUUGAACGCACAUUGCGCCCGCCAGUAUUCUGGCGGGCAUGCCUGUCCGAGCGUCAUUUCAACCCUCGAACCCCUCCGGGGGGUCGGCGUUGGGGACCUCGGGAGCCCCUAAGACGGGAUCCCGGCCCCGAAAUACAGUGGCGGUCUCGCCGCAGCCUCUCCUGCGCAGUAGUUUGCACAACUCGCACCGGGAGCGCGGCGCGUCCACGUCCGUAAAACACCCAACUUUCUGAAAUGUUGACCUCGGAUCAGGUAGGAAUACCCGCUGAACUUAAGCAUAUCAAUAAGCCGGAGGA
RNAcentral lists this ribosomal RNA (610 nucleotides) under Trichoderma atroviride. Its description in RNAcentral is "eukaryotic LSU rRNA". The stretch from base 217 to 370 matches the Rfam family "5.8S ribosomal RNA". The record is from RNAcentral. Lineage: Eukaryota; Fungi; Ascomycota; Sordariomycetes; Hypocreales; Hypocreaceae.